UUAUAGUCUACCUGCUCAUGAUAAAUUUAUUAAAUAGCCGCGGUAUCUUGACCGUGCAAAGGUAGCAUAAUCAUUAGUUUUUUAAUUGAAAACUCGUAUGAAUGGUUGGACAAAGGAGAAACUGUCUCUUUUAUUAAAAUUGAAUUUAACUUUUAAGUGAAAAGGCUUAAAUAUUUCAAAGGGACGAUAAGACCCUAUAAAGCUUUAUAAAUUUAAAAAUUUUGUAUAUUUUUAUAUAGUAACAAUUUUCUGAUUAUUUAUUUGGUUGGGGCGACAAUAGUAUAAUAAAAGUAACUGCUUUAAAUUAAUACAAAAAUAUUUGAAUAAUAUUAUUUAAUUGAUCCUUUUUAAAGAUUCUAAGAUCAAGUUACUUUAGGGAUAACAGCGUUAUUUUUCCUGAGAGUUCUUAUCAAAGGAAAAGUUUGCGACCUCGAUGUUGAAUUAAAACGUCUAUAUAGUGCAGCAGCUAUAAGAGAAGGUCUGUUCGACCUUUAAUAUUUUACAUGAUUUGAGU
Molecule: ribosomal RNA, 514 nt
Filed under: Thalamita aff. kukenthali UF 33634
Lineage: Eukaryota; Metazoa; Arthropoda; Malacostraca; Decapoda; Portunidae
Description: partial 16S ribosomal RNA
Rfam family: Bacterial large subunit ribosomal RNA
Source: RNAcentral